Molecule: ribosomal RNA, 253 nt
Filed under: uncultured Anaeromyxobacter sp.
Lineage: Bacteria; Pseudomonadati; Myxococcota; Myxococcia; Myxococcales; Anaeromyxobacteraceae
Description: partial 16S ribosomal RNA
Rfam family: Bacterial small subunit ribosomal RNA
Source: RNAcentral
UACAGAGGGUGCAAGCGUUGUUCGGAAUUACUGGGCGUAAAGCGCGUGUAGGUGGCGACGUUAGUCGGAUGUGAAAUCCCUCGGCUUAACCGAGGAAGUGCAUUCGAUACUGCGUUGCUUGAGUACUGGAGGGGAUGGCGGAAUUCCCGGUGUAGAGGUGAAAUUCGUAGAUAUCGGGAGGAACACCUGUGGCGAAGGCGGCCAUCUGGACAGUCACUGACACUGAGACGCGAAAGCGUGGGUAGCAAACAGG